This 281-nucleotide unclassified non-coding RNA is filed under the name Hevea brasiliensis (rubber tree). Lineage: Eukaryota; Viridiplantae; Streptophyta; Magnoliopsida; Malpighiales; Euphorbiaceae. The record is from RNAcentral.
UGAACAUGAAUGUCACCUCUUAUGUUUUUCUGUACAUGCCAAUUGAAUUGGUGAAAGUAAAAUUGAAAUUAAUGCAUGUUCAUGUUGCAUAUCACUAUGAGCACUAAUCAUUAAAUGGUUUUGCAGUGUAGCAAGUAGUGACAUUCUAAAUUUAUUCCAGUAGCAAAAUUUGUGGUAUAUUUUAGCUGCCAAAAACCUCUAGUUUCACAGAAAAACUCUUGUUAUAUGUAAGGUCAUUCCUUCCCUUAAAAAAAUGCCAAAAGGGUGGGGAUAGUGAAAAA